GGCAGGGUAGCUCAGUUGGUUAGAGCACGGGACUCAUAAGCCCGAGGUCGUGGGUUCAAUCCCCACCCCUGCUA
Molecule: transfer RNA, 74 nt
Filed under: Candidatus Buchananbacteria bacterium
Lineage: Bacteria; Candidatus Buchananiibacteriota
Description: tRNA-Met
Rfam family: tRNA
About the family: Transfer RNA (tRNA) molecules are approximately 80 nucleotides in length. Their secondary structure includes four short double-helical elements and three loops (D, anti-codon, and T loops). Further hydrogen bonds mediate the characteristic L-shaped molecular structure. tRNAs have two regions of fundamental functional importance: the anti-codon, which is responsible for specific mRNA codon recognition, and the 3' end, to which the tRNAs corresponding amino acid is attached (by aminoacyl-tRNA synthetases). tRNAs cope with the degeneracy of the genetic code in two manners: having more than one tRNA (with a specific anti-codon) for a particular amino acid; and 'wobble' base-pairing, i.e. permitting non-standard base-pairing at the 3rd anti-codon position.
Source: RNAcentral